GGGGAAUAUUGGACAAUGGGGGCAACCCUGAUCCAGCAAUGCCGCGUGUGUGAAGAAGGUCUUCGGAUUGUAAAGCACUUUCGACGGGGACGAUGAUGACGGUACCCGUAGAAGAAGCCCCGGCUAACUUCGUGCCAGCAGCCGCGGUAAUACGAAGGGGGCUAGCGUUGCUCGGAAUGACUGGGCGUAAAGGGCGUGUAGGCGGUUUACACAGUCAGAUGUGAAAUCCCCGGGCUUAACCUGGGAGCUGCAUUUGAUACGUGUAGACUAGAGUGUGAGAGAGGGUUGUGGAAUUCCCAGUGUAGAGGUGAAAUU
This 315-nucleotide ribosomal RNA is filed under the name uncultured bacterium. RNAcentral describes it as "partial 16S ribosomal RNA". It matches the Rfam family "Bacterial small subunit ribosomal RNA", at positions 356 to 688 of the family's 1533-position model. The record is from RNAcentral.